This 366-nucleotide ribosomal RNA is filed under the name uncultured Anaerolineaceae bacterium. Its description in RNAcentral is "bacterial SSU rRNA". It matches the Rfam family "Bacterial small subunit ribosomal RNA", at positions 1001 to 1378 of the family's 1533-position model. Lineage: Bacteria; Bacillati; Chloroflexota; Anaerolineae; Anaerolineales; Anaerolineaceae. The record is from RNAcentral.
UGGAAACAGGGAGUGCCUUCGGGAGCCUCUACAGGUGUUGCAUGGCUGUCGUCAGCUCGUGUCGUGAGAUGUUCGGUUAAGUCCGCUAACGAGCGCAACCCUCGCUGUGUGUUACAAGUGUCACACGGUACUGCCGGUAUUAAAGUCGGAGGAAGGUGGGGAUGACGUCAAGUCAGCAUGACCUUUAUAUCCAGGGCUACACACACGCUACAAUGGUCAGUACAAUAGGUUGCCAAGCCGCGAGGCGGAGCCAAUCCUAAAAAGCUGGCCUCAGUUCAGAUUGCAGUCUGCAACUCGACUGCAUGAAGUUGGAGUUGCUAGUAACCGCAGGUCAGCUAUACUGCGGUGAAUACGUUCCCGGGGAUU